AAUCAGUGGUAUUCAUGUCGGUGUUAAUUGGUACCUGAAGAGAGGUUUUCUAGGUCUCUGUUUCUUUAGUGAGGGUGAAACGAACCUGGUUAACCUCUUUUCCAGUAUCAGAUCCCACCUUGGAGGCCUUCUGGUCCAGAU
Equus caballus (horse) is the source of this 141-nucleotide microRNA precursor. The record is from Ensembl. NCBI's taxonomy places the organism in Eukaryota, Metazoa, Chordata, Mammalia, Perissodactyla, Equidae.